Molecule: ribosomal RNA, 484 nt
Filed under: uncultured bacterium
Lineage: Bacteria
Description: partial 16S ribosomal RNA
Rfam family: Bacterial small subunit ribosomal RNA
Source: RNAcentral
AUUGAACGCUGGCGGCAUGCCUAACACAUGCAAGUCGAGCGGUAAAAGGUCGCUUGCUCCUGACUUGAGGGGCAGGCGGGUGUGUUACACCGAGGCAUGUGCGAUCGAGGGGGGGAAAGCGUCGGAAAACGGGCGCUAAUACCAUACGAGUUACGAGGGAGAACGUGGGGGCUCUUGAGAUCUCGCGGUCUGAGCUGACGCUAGGUCGGAUUAGCUAGUUGGUGGGGUAAAGGCCUACCAAGGCGACGAUCCGUAACUGGUCUGAGAGGAUGAUCAGCCACACUGGAACUGAGACACGGUCCAGACUCCUACGGGAGGCAGCAGUGGGGAAUAUUGGACAAUGGGCGAAAGCCUGAUCCAGCCAUGCCGCGUGUGUGAUGAAGGUCUUCGGAUUGUAAAGCACUUUUAGUUGGGAGGAAGGGCAGUAUGUUAAUACCUUGCUGUCUUGACGUUACCGAAAGAAUAAGCACCGGCUAACUUCGUG